This 340-nucleotide unclassified non-coding RNA is filed under the name soil metagenome. Its description in RNAcentral is "partial contains 5.8S ribosomal RNA, internal transcribed spacer 2, and large subunit ribosomal RNA". The stretch from base 1 to 120 matches the Rfam family "5.8S ribosomal RNA", at positions 35 to 154 of the family's 154-position model. The record is from RNAcentral.
GAUGAAGAACGCAGCGAAAUGCGAUACGUAGUGUGAAUUGCAGAAUUCAGUGAAUCAUCGAAUCUUUGAACGCACAUUGCGCCCUUUGGUAUUCCAAAGGGCAUGCCUGUUCGAGCGUCAUUUGUACCCUCAAGCUUUGCUUGGUGUUGGGCGUCUUUUGUCUCCAGUUCGCUGGAGACUCGCCUUAAAGUCAUUGGCAGCCGGCCUACUGGUUUCGGAGCGCAGCACAAGUCGCGCUCUUAGCCAGCCAAGGUCAGCGUCCAGCAAGCCUUUUUUCAACCUUUGACCGCGGAUCAGGUAGGGAUACCCGCUGAACUUAAGCAUAUCAAUAAGCGGAGGA